GACGAACGCUGGCGGCGUGCUUGACACAUGCAAGUCGAACGGAAAGGCCUGCUUUCCCUUGUGGAUUGCGGGUACUCGAGUGGCGAACGGGUGAGUAACACGUGAGUGAUCUGCCCCCAACUUGGGUAUAAGCCUGGGAAACUGGGUCUAAUUCCCGAUAGGACUGCAGGGUGGUGCCUGUGGUGGAAAACGAUUUUCUAGUGGUUGGGGGUGAGCUCGCGGCCUAUCAGCUUGUUGGUGGGGUAAUGGCCUACCAAGGCGGCGACAGGUAGCCGGCCUGGGAGAGUGGACGGCCACAUUGGGACUGAGAUACGGCCCAGACUCCUACGGGAAGCAGCAGUGGGGAAGAAUGCACAGUGGGCGGAAGCCUGAGGCAGCGAGGCCGCGUGGGGAAUGACGGCCUUCGGGUGGUAAACUCCUUUCGGCCGCGAGGAAGCCACCUGGUUGGAAGGGUGGUGACGGUAGUGGUAGAAGAAGCACCGGCUAACUACGUG
This 494-nucleotide ribosomal RNA is filed under the name uncultured bacterium. RNAcentral's name for it is "partial 16S ribosomal RNA". It matches the Rfam family "Bacterial small subunit ribosomal RNA", at positions 28 to 507 of the family's 1533-position model. The record is from RNAcentral.